CUGGAGACUUGCCCAUUGAUACUGUCAGUCUUGAGUACGGUCAAGGUAGGCGGGAAUGUGUAAUGUAGCGGUGAAAUGCUUAGAUAUUACACAGAACACCGAUUGCGAAGGCAGCUUACUGGGCCAUUACUGACGCUGAUGCACGAAAGCGUGGGGAUCGAACAGGAUUAGAUACCCUGGUAGUCCACGCCGUAAACGAUGAUCACUCGCUGUUGGCGAUACACAGUCAGCGGCUAAGCAAAAGCAUUAAGUGAUCCACCUGGGGAGUACGGCCGCAAGGCUGAAGCUCAAAGGAAUUGACGGGGGCCCGCACAAGCGGAGGAACAUGUGGUUUAAUUCGAUGAUACGCGAGGAACCUUACCUGGGCUUAAAUGUAUAGUGCAUGAUGUGGAAACAUGUCUUUCCUUCGGGACUCUAUGCAAGGUGCUGCAUGGUUGUCGUCAGCUCGUGCCGUGAGGUGUCGGAUUAAGUUCCAUAACGAGCGCAACCCUUAUCGUUAGUUGCCAGCGGGUCAUGCCGGGAACUCUAACGAAACUGCCGGUGUAAACCGUGAGGAAGGUGGGGAUGACGUCAAAUCAGCACGGCCCUUAUGUCCAGGGCUACACACGUGUUACAAUGGCCGGUACAGAGGGCAGCUACCUGGAGACAGGAUGCGAAUCUCGAAAGCCGGUCUCAGUUCGGAUCGGAGUCUGCAACUCGACUCCGUGAAGCUGGAUUCGCUAGUAAUCGCGCAUCAGCCAUGGCGCGGUGAAUACGUUCCCGGGCCUUGUACACACCGCCCGUCAAGCCAUGGAAGUUGGGGGUACCUGAAGUCCGUAACCGCAAGGAGCGGCCUAGGGUAAAACUAGUGACUGGGGCUAAGUCGUAACAAGGUAAC
Molecule: ribosomal RNA, 877 nt
Filed under: uncultured bacterium
Lineage: Bacteria
Description: bacterial SSU rRNA
Rfam family: Bacterial small subunit ribosomal RNA
Source: RNAcentral